This 4724-nucleotide unclassified non-coding RNA is filed under the name Homarus americanus (American lobster). RNAcentral describes it as "aTP-binding cassette sub-family C member 3-like, transcript variant X9". The record is from RNAcentral. Lineage: Eukaryota; Metazoa; Arthropoda; Malacostraca; Decapoda; Nephropidae.
GUGUAAACAGACCAUACAGUUAACAGGGUUCAGUUAUGCAGCCGCGAAGCGUCUGUGACUGUGCUGUGUCACUGCGCGUAACCGUGACCACGUAGUGUUAGUUGUGCUUAAGCGCUGGUGCACGGAGGAAGACAGGACGAAGUACCUCUUGAACUCUGAGAGGUAACUCGUGGAUGCCUCGACACCUGCGUUGUAGUGUAUCACAUGAGGUUAAUUAUUGAAGUUGUUUGUGUAGUAGUGAUGUGUUAACAUUGUGAAUUUCUACUGUUUGGCAGUAUUGUAGUGGGGCAUCUGGAAGUCUGCCACCAGCAACUGACUUCAAAUAUAAAGUAGAGGAACAACAGAGUCUUGAGAGCCGCAGAAGUAGCAGUAGCGGCAUCAAGAAGGUGGCAGGAGAUGAGAAAAUACGUGGUCAGGAAGCAACUUCUGUUUUAACAUGGCAACCUUCAACAAUUUAACUGACCCUUUGUCCAAAUUCUGCGGCCACCCAUUUUGGAACGUCAGUACUGCUUGGGAUACAUAUGACCCAGAUUUGGGCUUGUGUCUGGAGCGGACAGUACUAGUAUGGGGGCCAUGUCUCUUCCUGUGGGUGUGUGCCCCAGCCUACAUCAUGAAACAGCGACAGACAAGUGAACCUGCCAUCCCCUCAUCACCUCUCCUGUACUUCAAAGUGGUGUUUUCACUACUAGCAGCAGCAGCAGCAGUGGCAGAGUUGUCAUUAGUGGAGAUACUGUCAGCCUCUAGCUAUGAUUUUGUAACUCCACUCACCCUCAUUCUUUCUUAUUGUUUGCAAGUAUUUUUGGUAUUGUUUGGUCGUCGGUGUGGGGAGAGAAGCAAUGGUCUGAUCUGGUUGUUCUGGCUCACUAUGGUGUUGUGUGGUGUUCCUCAACUUAAGUCAUCACUUUCAUCCACUGUUUAUAAUGAUGGCCCACUGGAGAUGACAAUAGCAUUCCUGGUUCAGUACAUUGCUGCUGUUUUGUUGUUGUCUCUAAACAGCUUUGCUGAUAAUCCUCCUAACUCUCACCUGCUCAACAAGAAUAAGGUCUACCCUUUCAACUACUCAUCGUUUUUAAGUCAAAUAACCUUCCAUUGGGCCAACGGACUUGUAUGGCUAGGGUGGAAACGAUCCCUAACCCAUGAUGACUUGUGGAACAUCCCAGCUGAGUGUGCCACUAACCUCCUGGAUACUUCAUGGAGAACAUCUUGGAGUAAAGAGCUCUCCAUUGUCAGAAGUAAGAUUUCAUCAUCAAAAAGUGAGCAAGGUGGUGGAGAGAGAGAGCCAUCAGGACCAGUGCGAGUAUCUGUCACAAGGGUCAUCAUUCGCUCCUUCUUUUGGUCUUACAUCAUCACUGCUGUUCUACAUGUUACUUCAGAAUUACUUUUAUUUUUUACUCCACGACUUUUGAGUUUGUUGAUCAGCUUUACAAUGAGUGAAAGUGAGCCAGUGUGGCAUGGCUACUUUUAUUCCAUUCUGAUGCUCCUGGUGAGCCUCCUCACCACUGUCCUCAGAACCAUCUUUGCAUACAAGGCCUGGCUCAUUGGUAUCAAAAUAAGAUCCUCACUAAUGAGUGCUGUCUACUCUAAGGCACUCACUUUGUCGUCAUCUGCCAGACAAAAUUCAACCGUGGGCGAGAUUGUCAACUUAAUGGCUGUAGACUCGCAGAGAAUGAGUGACUUUCCUUUGUUUUCCAACUUGCUCUGGUCAGGUCCUCUGAUCAUCUUAGUUGCUCUAUAUGAACUUUGGCAAAUACUUGGACCAUCAGUGUUGGCUGGCCUGGUGGUGUUGAUACUCCUGGUCCCCAUAAACAGUGUCAUCGCUAACAAAAUCAAGAUGCUCCAGGGUUCUCAUAUGAAGUUCAAGGAUAAGAGAAUCAAGUUGCUGAAUGAAAUUAUUAGUGGAAUAAAAGUACUGAAACUAUAUGCCUGGGAGGACUCUUUCAACAGUCAGGUGGAAGGUGUCAGGAGAGAUGAAAUCACAGUUCUGAGGAAGUCUGCUUUUCUCCACUCAUUUGUAACCUUCAUAUGGCUCACAACACCAUAUCUGGUUUCAUUAGCUUCAUUUGCCACAUAUUUACUGGUGUCUGAGAACAAUGUCUUGGAUGCUCAAAUGGCUUUUGUCUCCAUUGCACUUUUCAACCUGAUGCGCUUCCCCAUCACCCAGCUACCACAACUGAUCGCUAGCGGCAUUCAGGCAAAAGUUUCAUUAAGCAGGAUGGAGAAGUUCCUGGCAUCAUCAGACAUUGAUCCUCAUGCUGUAUCCACUAGUAACAAGGAGAAUGAGGCAAUUGUGGUUCGUGGAGGACAGUUCAGUUGGGGCACUGAAGGUAGAACAGAUCCAUGGCGACUGCGAGAUGUGGAUCUGGAAAUUGGUCAAGGGCAACUGGUGGCGGUGGUGGGGCCUGUGGGAGCUGGCAAAAGUUCUCUUCUCUCCUCUUUACUGGGGGAAAUAAAUAAAGAAGCUGGGCAGGUUGUUGUUAAUGGCAAAGUAGCUUAUGUUUCUCAACAAGCUUGGUUACAAAAUGCAACACUGAAGGACAAUAUCACUUGGGGUCAACCUUUAGAUGAACGACAUUACCAGAAGAUUAUUGAAGCGUGUGCCCUUCAGCAGGACCUAGACAUGCUGCCUGCUGGGGACAUGACAGAGAUAGGAGAAAAGGGCAUCAACCUCAGUGGAGGACAAAAACAACGAAUAUCUUUAGCACGAGCAGCAUAUAAUGAUGCUGAUGUCAUAUUACUGGACGACCCUCUCAGUGCUGUAGAUUCUCAUGUUGGCCGUCACAUCUUUGACAGUUUAAUUGGUCCUAAUGGAAUGAUGAAGAAGAAGACAAGAGUAUUAGUGACCCAUGCAGUGUGGCUGCUGCCACAAGUGGACUUUUUGGUGGUGAUACGUGAUGGACAGAUAGUGGAGAAGGGCACUUGGACACAGUUACUGGAGGGUGAAGGAGACUUUGCUCACUUCCUUAUUCAACACAUCACUAGAGAAAAUGAUGAUGAGGAGGACGGAAAUGAGCUGGACCAACUAUGUGAACAACUGGAAAAUACUCGUCAUGGACAGGUCCUUAUGAAACAACUGUCACACCAGAGCAACAGUUUUGAGUCUGGACGAAUUGGAGGUGUACGUAAAUGUAACAGAGACAGCAGUUGUGGAAGUGACCAACAGCUGAGAGAGAGCAGUGGAGAUGUCUUGUCUGUGACCUCAAAUCAGCGUCAACAGUCUAUUUCUUCAUCUGGCGUUGGAAGUGUACACAAGAGGCAAAGAGGAGAAUCAAUAUCCAUGAAGGACCUAAAAGCAAGCAAGGAUAAUAAUGUCAAUGAAGGGAAAGCAGGAGAAAUUCUGAUUCAGGAGGAAGCAGUAGAGACUGGCAAGGUAAAAUGGAAAGUAUAUUCGUUCUAUGCAUUAGCCAUGGGCCUUCUUCCUGCCAUAGUUCCAGCACUGCUAUAUUCUGUUGCUCAGGUGUUCCAGGCAGGCAGUAAUGUGUGGCUGUCAUACUGGACUAGCAACACCACUGCUCCCUCAACCAAUACUACUCAACAAGAUUUCAAUCGUGUGGAGUUUCUGGCUGUUUAUGGAGCCUUCGGCAUUGGCCAAUCUGUGUUGUUCUACUUUGGAUCAGUUAUGCUGUGGAUUGGCUGCAUGAGAGCAGGGAAAGACAUUCAUCAGAGACUCCUUAAGAGAGUCUUACAUCUGCCAAUGAGCUUUUUUGAUACUAAUCCAAGUGGGCGUAUCAUGAACCGCCUCAGUAAGGAUAUAGACGUCCUUGAUAGUGUGCUGCCCCUCCUUAUAUCUAACUCCUUAAUACUCUUAGCACAGGUUGUAGCAACACUGAUUGUGAUUGUGGUAUCGACCCCAUUGGUUGCCAUAGUCAUUGGUCCUAUUAUGGUGCUCUACUACUUCAUCCUGAUUGUCUACAUAUCCACCACAAGGCAGCUCAAGCGCAUAGAAUCUGUAACCAAGUCUCCUGUUUUCUCACACUUUGGAGAGAGUGUCCAAGGCGUAUCAACUAUUCGGGCAUUUAAAAAGGAAAAAGAUUUCAUCCGCACAUCCCACAUGAAGAUCGACUAUUCUGUGCAAGCCUUUGUUACCAACCUUGCCUGUAACAGGUGGUUAGGAGUGCGGCUGGAAGUUAUUGGAAACCUCAUCACCUUUGCUGCUGCCGUCUUUGCUGUGGCUGGACGAGGUUCAGUCAGCUCAGGCAUUGUUGGUUUGUCCAUAACUUAUGCCCUUAAUGUUACAGUAAUUCUCAACUUCUUGGUGAGGAUGAGCUCAGAAAUAGAGGCAAACAUUGUGUCUGUGGAGAGGAUCAAGGAAUACAUUGAGGAGAAGCUGGAAUCUCCUUGGAAUGUCAAAGAACAUUCACCAUCAAAGUCGUGGCCGGAGAAUGGGAGUCUGACUUUCAACAAUUACCAAACACGCUACCGUCCUGGCCUGGAGCUGGUGUUGAAAGGUUGGCAUUGUAGGGAGGACAGGAGCUGGCAAGUCAUCCCUAACACUUGCUUUGUUUAGAAUUAUUGAGGCUGAUGGUGGUACUAUUGAAAUUGAUGGCAUCAACAUUUCCAAGCUUGGUCUCCAUGAUUUAAGAAGCUGCCUCAGCAUUAUACCACAGGAUCCUGUUUUGUUUAGUGGAACAUUGCGCACCAAUCUGGAUCCUUUUGAUAUUUAUGAUGAUGCCACCAUUUGGCAUGCACUCGAGUUGGCCCACCUUAGCUGUUAUGUGCGUGCCCAG